GGGGCUGUGGUUCAGUGAUAGAACACUUGCCUGGCAUGCAAGAGGCACUGGGUCCAUCUCCAGCAUUUUCU
Molecule: transfer RNA, 71 nt
Filed under: Heterocephalus glaber (naked mole-rat)
Lineage: Eukaryota; Metazoa; Chordata; Mammalia; Rodentia; Bathyergidae
Rfam family: tRNA
About the family: Transfer RNA (tRNA) molecules are approximately 80 nucleotides in length.
Source: Rfam by way of RNAcentral